Molecule: non-coding RNA, 77 nt
Organism: Parelaphostrongylus tenuis
Lineage: Eukaryota; Metazoa; Nematoda; Chromadorea; Rhabditida; Metastrongylidae
Source: the annotation of a GenBank genome assembly
GCCUCAGUGGUGUAGUGGGUAGAGCACGCGUCCCCCGGAUAGGAUAUGAAACGUGGGUUCGAUUCCCGCCUGAGGCC